GUAAGCUAGUGGCGAACGGGUGAGUAACACGUAGGUAAUCUACCCUUCAGACGGGAACAACCCAGGGAAACUUGGGCUAAUGCCCGAUAAGACCACGGGGCGGGAGCUCUGGGGUCAAAGGCUGGGCGAAAGUCUGGCGCUGGGGGAUGAGCCUGCGGCCUAUCAGCUAGUUGGCGGGGUAAGAGCCCACCAAGGCGAAGACGGGUAGCCGGCCUGAGAGGGUGAUCGGCCACACUGGGACUGAGACACGGCCCAGACUCCUACGGGAGGCAGCAGUGAGGAAUUUUCCGCAAUGGGCGCAAGCCUGACGGAGCGACGCCGCGUGAGGGAUGAAGGCCUUCGGGUUGUAAACUUCUUUUGCUGGGGAAAAAGGUGUUCGUGCUCAUACCACGGAUACUUGAUGGUACUCAGCGAAUAAGCCCCGGCUAACUACGUGCCAGCAGCCGCGGUAAUACGUAGGGGGCGAGCGUUGUCCGGAGUUACUGGGCGUAAAGGGCGUGUAGGCGGUUGGGUAAGUCUUGUGUGAAAUGCUCUGGCUCAACCAGAGCCCUGCGCAGGAUACUGUCUGACUGGAAUUCGGAAAGGGGUGACUGGAAUUCCCGGUGUAACGGUGAAAUGUGUAGAUAUCGGGGAGGAACACCUGUGGCGAAAGCGGGUCACUGGUCCGACAUUGACGCUGAGACGCGAAGCGUGGGGAGCAAACAGGAUUAGAUACCCUGCUAGUCACGCUGUAAACGAUG
This 740-nucleotide ribosomal RNA is filed under the name uncultured bacterium. Its description in RNAcentral is "bacterial SSU rRNA". It matches the Rfam family "Bacterial small subunit ribosomal RNA", at positions 87 to 811 of the family's 1533-position model. The record is from RNAcentral.